GUGCUCACUUCGGCAGCACAUAUACUAAAACUGGAAAGAUACAGAGAAGAUUAGCAUGGCCCCUGUGCAAGGAUGACAUGCAAAUUCAUGAAGCGUUCCAUAUUUUU
This is a small nuclear RNA of Bison bison bison, 107 nucleotides long. The record is from Ensembl. Lineage: Eukaryota; Metazoa; Chordata; Mammalia; Artiodactyla; Bovidae.